Small RNA from Burkholderia sp. SRS-W-2-2016, 105 nucleotides. It matches the Rfam family "Burkholderia sRNA 1". Rfam says of the family: Identified by RNA-seq, RACE and Northern blot. The record is from Rfam. Lineage: Bacteria; Pseudomonadati; Pseudomonadota; Betaproteobacteria; Burkholderiales; Burkholderiaceae.
AGUUCUGAUGCACCACGAAUUUGCAGGUGGAGAACGAGGAGACAAUUGAGGCACUCAGUGCCCAGACGAAAGCGCUGUUGGAUUGAUAUCCAACAGCGCUUUUUA